Episyrphus balteatus (marmalade hoverfly) is the source of this 1016-nucleotide long non-coding RNA. RefSeq lists it as uncharacterized. The transcript is spliced from 4 exons. Lineage: Eukaryota; Metazoa; Arthropoda; Insecta; Diptera; Syrphidae. The record is from RefSeq and is a predicted model, not a curated record.
UCUGUAUGCUGUCAAUUUUUGCAAUGUUUUUUUGUUUUUCAAUUUGAGCCAAAAUUUAUGAAUAUGGUGUUAUGGUAUGGAAAAUUUUUAAAAUGUGUAUGAGAAGCAAAAAAACGUUAAAUAUGAAAUUUUCGUGUUUCUGCCUUUCAAGUACAUGCCUAAAAUCAAAUUGGAAAGGAUAAUAAUUGAAAAUUGACAACGCAAGAAUGAUUGCAAUAAGAGCACCGUGAAAUCAAAACGAAAAAAAAACGACUCGCCAUUGAGACUAUAGAGAGGUCCAAACGUAUUGAAAGAGGAAAGGAAAAAUUUAACUUCAUGAGUACAUUAACAAUAACCUGCAAAGAAUACCAGUUCACGCCAUAAAGUCCCAAAAGGUUCCAAGCUCAACACAGGAGUUCAAAGCAACAGGCUAUUAGUUGGUAAGGAAUAUGAACCUAAUCCUCUCCAAUAUAAAGUCUGGUUUCUGUUUUAAAAAUAAAAAAAAUUAUUGAAUCGACAAAAAAAAUUAAAGUUUGGAACUGGAAAUGAUUCAAGGGUUGGAGUUAUUAAUCCCUUUGGCGUAGCAGGGAACUAAUUCCACUUAGAGAGUUAGAGUUAGUUCUCGCUCCGUGGGAACGAAAUAAUUUUUAGUAAACUGGAUUUAGUUUCUAUGCUAGGAAUUCCGGCGAUUUUAGAUUUCCAUUUUACAAAAGAGCUGCAACACAAAAUGACACGUACUAUAUAUAAACAUCCAACUUUUUAAUAGCCUUUUUUAGUAACUCAAAAACUAAGCGAAGUUUAAAUAAAUUUAAAUUUGUAUUAAAACCUAUUAUACAACAUGAGGAUUUUGUGGCGAUCUCUUAAAAAAUGCAUUAUAUUGAAUAAAAAGGUUAUUGUUCAGGUUUUUGCGUUUAUUGGCUUGAUUUACACAUUGACAUUGCUCGCAAAAUUUAAUUGGAAAUUCUAAUUCAACCCGCAGUUUGGUUAUUUGUCAAUAUUCACUCCUUUAAUUAAAAAUACAUAUUUUCUUCUACUUU